UGCUGGGCUCCAUAUACAACAAGGGAAAUGAGGGUUUCACAAAAGCAUAAAGGCUCAUAUUGUGAUUCUUGAAGGUUCACAUUCAUGCGUUCUUCAAAUGCAUUUGCAGCUACCCUAAUGAGUGUCCUAGAGUGUCCUUGGUAAUUUGGCUGUACAUUUACAGAUUGGGCCCAAAAAACAUCCAGAAGAAAAUGGGGGGAGGAAGUGUAAGUCACAUAUAUUUUUUAAUUUAAACAUUUGACAAAGCUAAUCCACCUUUUAAACUUAAUAACAUAGUCAUGAAGAAAUAAAGGCUUUUUAUAUUUUACUUAUCCUUGAGUGCCUUGGCGUUGCAUGAUUUAUACAAAUGGAGAUGUAUUUCAAAAGCUAUAUGACAGGAUGACAAUAAUUAGCGUUCUCUGUAAGUCACAUACAGUGGAUAAAAGCAUGAUUUUCUAAAUGAAUGAAUGAAUGCUAAUGUAAAAGAAUCCAUGAGCAACAAAUUUUAAUGUAAUGUCUCACCAUACAGUCAAGUGAGAGAGCGAUAGAGCUGGACAGAAGAGCGAUGGACCUGGAUAGGAGAGCGAUGGAACUGGAUAGAAGAGUGAUGGAACUGGAUAGAACGCAGAUGAAACAGGAGACAAGGGCUCCUAACUGUUGCGGUUGCUGCUUCCUUCAGAUGGUAUCACAGAACAGAAAUGAAUCAACUACCAUGAUCAAUUCACAACAAGUAAAUCGCAAUAAAUCAUAAACUAAAGAUAGGGAAGGUGUCACGAUCCCACCAGGCUCUCCCUCACUAAUCAGACCGUCACACUCACUAGACUACUGAUCACAAUCAAGUCACCUUUAUUUGUAUAGUGCUUUAUACAAUACUGGUUGUGUCAAUCAUGUUAAACAGGAAAAUAAUUUGUCAAUAAUGCAAGAGGACAAUAACAAAGAGUCAUUUUCCCAGCUAAAGUCAGUUCAUUGAUGAUUCAGUGAUGUCAUCAUCCAGUUCAGCUCUCUUCCAAUAGUGUUUGUGCAAUCAGUCAAUUUGGGAGAAACCUGGGAGAAACCUGGCUCAGAUCACAGACUGCAUUUCCCAUCAUCCUCUCUGGCACUUAACCAUGCACACCUGACACUGAUCAACCGUCAUCACCAGCACUACAAGUAGAGCAUCCCCGCCCCCAUCCCAUUCAUUGUAUGCACUUGUUGGAUGCAGUCCUCUGUGGACAC
Cyprinus carpio (common carp) is the source of this 1194-nucleotide long non-coding RNA. NCBI's taxonomy places the organism in Eukaryota, Metazoa, Chordata, Actinopteri, Cypriniformes, Cyprinidae. The record is from Ensembl.